RNAcentral lists this long non-coding RNA (341 nucleotides) under Brassica rapa (field mustard). Its description in RNAcentral is "long non-coding RNA (BRAP_LNC004297)". Lineage: Eukaryota; Viridiplantae; Streptophyta; Magnoliopsida; Brassicales; Brassicaceae. The record is from RNAcentral.
CAAAGGCUGUAUUUCUCCUCAGCCAGCAGAUUUUCUCUUCCACCACCAAUCCCCAAAUGAAAAACUUUUCGAAAUUUUUUUUUUUGAUAGAUCUUUUUCUUUUCUUUUCUUUUUUUGAUAGAUUGAGGAUGGUAAUGAAGGGCCCGGAUUCAAGAUAGAUAGAAGAAGAAGUGUUUAUGAAUAAAUGGAAGAUGAGAAAGAUGAACGAUUUAGAAGAUACCAAACGAGCGGCUCUGAUACCACUUGAAGGACCCUAAGAUCAGCUCACUCGAAUGGAUCAGAUUUGGAUAUGAACUCCAGAUGGAGAACUAGAUGGAUUGAAGGGUCUCACGAAGGAUGCG